CCCCAGUGAAACGCUGUCCUGUUGCUGCUGGAAAUGUAUGGGGUGAUUAAGGCUGACCAGGCUCUCCUUGCUGACACUACUUCUACCUGAAAACUGCCCGCAGCAGAGCCCAACCAUGGGCAAGUGGGAUGAGAAGGAGCAGAGAGCAAUAGAGGAUGGAAGGCAAUGAAGUGGCCAUCCUCUUGCACUUAUGGCAUGGGUGGAAUCAAAGCGUUACCCCGUGCAUCCCAGCACGAAGCUGUCCCAUGGGCUGUAUCCCCACCCUGCUGAGUGCCAGAAGCCCAGGGUUAUCGCUUUGCAAGGUCCUUGCAAGUCACCCUGAGUGCAGAGCUCGGAGCAGAGGACCCGAGUGUACAGGGAGGGUUUGGGAGAACAAAGGGUUUUCGACAAAACCUCAUCCGGCUAAUCCUGCCGCGAUGCCGCGUGCAGAGCGAGGUGGUGAGCCCGCGAGCACGCCCUAUUAAAUCGUGUCUGCUCCGUCAUGAAUUAUGGAUCUUUGCAUUUCCAUUUUUCUGCCGCUUGUUUGAUGACAUUCUCCUCCGUUGAUAAGGACUGAGCCACCUGCUUCAAGGCACGGCACGGCACUGCGCUCGGCGAGGCAGAGGGAAAGGCUCAGCAUCCUCCUCUGCUGCCUGUGGAGGCUGGGGUGAGGGCACUCCAAGACUGGAACCCAUAUACAAGGAGUUU
This 687-nucleotide long non-coding RNA is filed under the name Numida meleagris (helmeted guineafowl). RNAcentral describes it as "lncRNA (ENSNMEG00000004103.1)". Lineage: Eukaryota; Metazoa; Chordata; Aves; Galliformes; Numididae. The record is from RNAcentral.